AGGAAUUGACGGGGGCUCACACAAGCGGUGGAGCAUGUGGCUUAAUUCGAAGCAACGCGAAGAACCUUAUCCAGGGUUUGACAUCCCGGAUUAAACCGUCGAAAGACGGUCUACACCCUUUGGGUGGAACGGUGACAGGUGCUGCAUGGCUGUCGUCAGCUCGUGCUGUGAAGUGUCGGGUUAAGUCCCUUAACGAGCGCAACCCCUAUCGUUAGUUGCUAACAGGUAAUGCUGAGGACUCUAGCGAGACUGCCGGUGUCAAACCGGAGGAAGGUGGGGAUGACGUCAAGUCCUCAUGGCCUUUAUGCCCUGGGCUGCACACGUGCUACAAUGGUAGGUACAGAACGAUGCAAAACCGCGAGGUCGAGCAAAUCGCUAAAACCUGCCCCAGUUCGGAUUGGAGGCUGCAACUCGCCUCCAUGAAGUCGGAAUCGCUAGUAAUCACGGAUCAGCUACGCCGCGGUGAAUACGUUCCUGAGCCUUGUACACGCCGCCCGUCAAGUCAUGGAAGCUGGCAGCGCCCGAAGUCGCCCCGAUUCAGGGGUGCCCACGGCGAGGCUGGUGACUGGGACU
Molecule: ribosomal RNA, 573 nt
Filed under: uncultured bacterium
Lineage: Bacteria
Description: bacterial SSU rRNA
Rfam family: Bacterial small subunit ribosomal RNA
Source: RNAcentral